RNAcentral lists this ribosomal RNA (253 nucleotides) under uncultured bacterium. RNAcentral's name for it is "partial 16S ribosomal RNA". It matches the Rfam family "Bacterial small subunit ribosomal RNA", at positions 524 to 776 of the family's 1533-position model. The record is from RNAcentral.
UACGUAGGGUGCGAGCGUUAAUCGGAAUUACUGGGCGUAAAGCGUGCGCAGGCGGUUUUGUAAGCCAGAUGUGAAAGCCCCGGGCUUAACCUGGGAAUGGCAUUUGGGACUGCAAGGCUGGAGUGUGGCAGAGGAGACUGGAAUUCCUGGUGUAGCAGUGAAAUGCGUAGAUAUCUGGAGGAAUACCGGUGGCGAAGGCGGCAUCCUGGACCGAGAUUGACGCUGAUGAGCGAAAGCUAGGGGAGCAAACGGG